Molecule: non-coding RNA, 554 nt
Filed under: Drosophila sechellia
Lineage: Eukaryota; Metazoa; Arthropoda; Insecta; Diptera; Drosophilidae
Description: Eukaryotic large subunit ribosomal RNA
Rfam family: Eukaryotic large subunit ribosomal RNA
Source: Rfam by way of RNAcentral
CAACCUCAACUCAUAUGGGACUACCCCCUGAAUUUAAGCAUAUUAAUUAGGGGAGGAAAAGAAACUAACAAGGAUUUUCUUAGUAGCGGCGAGCGAAAAGAAAACAGUUCAGCACUAAGUCACUUUGUCUAUAUGGCAAAUGUGAGAUGCAGUGUAUGGAGCGUCAAUAUUCUAGUAUGAGAAAUUAAUGAUUUAAGUCCUUCUUAAAUGAGGCCAUUUACCCAUAGAGGAUGCCAGGCCCGUAUAACGUUAAUGAUUGCUAGAUGAUGUUUCCAAAGAGUCGUGUUGCUUGAUAGUGCAGCACUAAGUGGGUGGUAAACUCCAUCUAAAACUAAAUAUAACCAUGAGACCGAUAGUAAACAAGUACCGUGAGGGAAAGUUGAAAAGAACUCUGAAUAGAGAGUUAAACAGUACGUGAAACUGCUUAGAGGUUAAGCCCGAUGAACCUGAAUAUCCGUUAUGGAAAAUUCAUCAUUAAAAUUGUAAUAUUUAAAUAAUAUUAUUAAGAAUAAUGUGCAUUUUUUCCAUAUAAGGACAUUGUAAUCUAUUAGCAU